GGACCAGCCUGUCGGUCGUGCCUCGGUACGCACUGGCAUUAUUGAUUUCUCCCUUCUGAAGAACCACGAUGUCAUUAAUUUGGUGUCGUGGGGAAUCAGGACUGUUACUUUGAAAAAAUUAGAGUGUUUAAAGCAGGCUCACGCUUGAAUACAUUAGCAUGGAAUAAUGAAAUAGGACGUUUGAUUCUAUUUUGUUGGUUUCUAGGAUUGACGUA
RNAcentral lists this ribosomal RNA (215 nucleotides) under Campeiostachys nutans. Its description in RNAcentral is "Elymus nutans partial small subunit ribosomal RNA". The stretch from base 38 to 215 matches the Rfam family "Eukaryotic small subunit ribosomal RNA", at positions 685 to 864 of the family's 1831-position model. Lineage: Eukaryota; Viridiplantae; Streptophyta; Magnoliopsida; Poales; Poaceae. The record is from RNAcentral.